RNAcentral lists this ribosomal RNA (465 nucleotides) under Vreelandella stevensii. RNAcentral describes it as "partial 16S ribosomal RNA". It matches the Rfam family "Bacterial small subunit ribosomal RNA", at positions 338 to 795 of the family's 1533-position model. Lineage: Bacteria; Pseudomonadati; Pseudomonadota; Gammaproteobacteria; Oceanospirillales; Halomonadaceae. The record is from RNAcentral.
CCUACGGGCGGCAGCAGUGGGGAAUAUUGGACAAUGGGCGAAAGCCUGAUCCAGCCAUGCCGCGUGUGUGAAGAAGGCCUUCGGGUUGUAAAGCACUUUCAGUGGGGAAGAAAGCCUUGGGGCUAAUACCCUCGAGGAAGGACAUCACCCACAGAAGAAGCACCGGCUAACUCCGUGCCAGCAGCCGCGGUAAUACGGAGGGUGCGAGCGUUAAUCGGAAUUACUGGGCGUAAAGCGCGCGUAGGCGGUCUGAUAAGCCGGUUGUGAAAGCCCCGGGCUCAACCUGGGAACGGCAUCCGGAACUGUCAGGCUAGAGUGCAGGAGAGGAAGGUAGAAUUCCCGGUGUAGCGGUGAAAUGCGUAGAGAUCGGGAGGAAUACCAGUGGCGAAGGCGGCCUUCUGGACUGACACUGACGCUGAGGUGCCAAAGCGUGGGUAGCAAACAGGAUUAGAUACCCGAGUAGUC